This is a long non-coding RNA of Bactrocera latifrons, 492 nucleotides long. RefSeq lists it as uncharacterized. NCBI's taxonomy places the organism in Eukaryota, Metazoa, Arthropoda, Insecta, Diptera, Tephritidae. The record is from RefSeq and is a predicted model, not a curated record. The transcript has 5 exons.
UAGUAAGUAGUUCGCUUCCUGAUGCUUUAAUUAGUUUUUGGAUUUCGAUCUAAAUGAGAACACGUGCAAUGGUGGUUUGGAAAUAUUUGUCUUCUAACAUUGAAAAAGUUCGGUCUACAGCUGGAUGAUGAAAAUGUCUAGUUCAGUACGGGAUAAUGCUUUUUGGAAAAGAUCAACAUUUGGAGACUAACUGAAACUACACGGGAGUAUGGAAUUCAACUUGAGAAUUUUUAUAAGAUGAUGAAAGUCUGGUGAAAAGACCAUUCCUCAUAUUUAUAUAUUCGUUGUUGGAAAAAUCAGCGAGAGAAUUAAAAAAUCUCCAAGAGAAACUACCAUAUGGAUCAAAUGUUAGCUUCUGGCGUAGUUUAUACUACUAAAAAAAAUUGGAUCUGUUGGUAUAACCAGGAUAUUGAAGACCGAGAUGAGCAUUUAUUAGUAUAUGAAUAAACAAAAGUGUAUUGCAUUCAAUAAAAUAACAAAUAUAUGCAGCAA